RNAcentral lists this ribosomal RNA (484 nucleotides) under uncultured bacterium. Its description in RNAcentral is "partial 16S ribosomal RNA". It matches the Rfam family "Bacterial small subunit ribosomal RNA", at positions 29 to 507 of the family's 1533-position model. The record is from RNAcentral.
AUUGAACGCUGGCGGCAUGCUUUACACAUGCAAGUCGGACGGCAGCGCGGGCUUCGGCCUGGCGGCGAGUGGCGAACGGGUGAGUAAUACAUCGGAACGUGCCCAGUAGUGGGGGAUAGCUCGGCGAAAGCCGGAUUAAUACCGCAUACGACCUGAGGGUGAAAGCGGGGGACUUUAGGGCCUCGCGCUAUUGGAGCGGCCGAUGGCAGAUUAGCUAGUUGGUGGGGUAAAGGCCUACCAAGGCGACGAUCUGUAGCUGGUCUGAGAGGACGACCAGCCACACUGGGACUGAGACACGGCCCAGACUCCUACGGGAGGCAGCAGUGGGGAAUUUUGGACAAUGGGCGCAAGCCUGAUCCAGCAAUGCCGCGUGUGUGAUGAAGGCCUUCGGGUUGUAAAGCACUUUUGGCAGGAACGAAAAGUGCCGUGCUAAUACCACUGUACGAUGACGGUACCUGCAGAAUAAGCACCGGCUAACUACGUG